AAUUCCACUAGGGCUCAGGCUGUGAGAAACAUCCUGCCGGGCAAGUCCUAAGCGUAACCGCCUGAUCUCAGGAAAUUCCUCACUUAGCAACAGCUAACCACACUGUCCACCCCACUUCACAACAAGCCCAGAUCUCUCCCACACGGACCUAAACUUACCCAGUCUGUCAGCAGGGGAGGGCUCUGGCGCUAGUUGGUGUCCGCCUCCGCGGAUGUUUGUUCGAUCAACCUGUGCUGCUGUAGAGCCGCCUCCGUCCGUUUUUUCUCCCGUUCCUGCUCUAACAAUGACAUUAUACCAAAUGUGACUGAUAUACUAAUACAUGCUGCUGUAAUGAGGAGUCCCCAUUUAAGUUACUGUGUCCAAAAUGAGUUUCCAGCAGUCCUCCAUCUUGAUACAUGCUUCAGUAUCACACAGAAAGGGUGGCCAUGGUGUCUCCUCUGCAACCAAGUGAUCGCCAAGAAUUCAGCUACUUCAGAUUAACUUCCCUGGGGUUGGUAACACAAUCCCAUGUUGCCAGCUAUCUUCAGAGUCCCACAGAUACAUGCUCACACAUUCUCCUGCUUGCUGUGUCAAAUUCUUGAGACUCUGUCUACAUUCCAUUCUGUAGAAGGACAGUCCUACAAGGCGAAUAUAAUGAGAGAAGAACAACAUAAGCAACAACAGCCUACAUUACUCUGAGCUCCAACACAGAGCACCAGGAGACGAGAAUCCAUAUUUUUCCUAUUUUUGGUCCUUGGAAUCUAGGCUUCAUUUCCAAGUAUUGAUGCCUAUUUAACAAGCGAAGGCAGCAGCAUGGAUGAAUACAAGUACAUAAUGUAUUACUUAGCACUGACCCAGAAUGAAAAGCUGGCCUAUCUAACAAAGAGAUUGCAGUGCAGAUGGGAAUGCAACACUUCUGAAGCUGGAUCAUAGAAUGCUUGUGGCUUCUUGCCUCCAUUACUUGGAAUUUCCAGUUCUGGGAAACAGAGACACAACUACCAUGUUCUGAGAAGCUCAAGCCACAUGGAAAAAUUACGCACAGGCUCUCCAGGUGACAACUGCAGCUGAGCAGGCAUUUGAAAGCCAGCAUCAGCCAGGUGAGUGAGUUUCCUUGGCCUUCCAGCACAGUUAAAGUUUCACAUGACAGCAGUCAUAGCUAACAACUAAUUACAACUGCUUAAGAGAGACUCCAAGCAAAAUCCACUUAGCUAAGAUCACACUCACAGUCCACCCAGCAGUCCAGGGAAUUAUGAACGAUAGUAACACAUUGCUGUUUUAAGACACUAAGUCUUGAGUAAUUUCUUACGCAACAAUUGAUAACUAAAACAUGGUUUCUAAGUAGAAGAUGCUUAAUAGCCCACUGCAACUUUUCUCUAGCUUCCAAUUCCACACCCCAUCAAAAGAAAAAAAAAGCCAAAACAAACAAAUAAACAAACAAACCUGAACGACACAGACUCACAUGAAAGAGACACUCCACAAUUUAUCUAAAAAUUAAUUACUUCAUUGCAGAUAUGUUGUCAUUUUAUUGAAAUUAACUUUAGUCAAAAUGUGUUGAGUUAUAUGAAAAUGCAUCUGAAUAUUUAAGACAUCAACUGAGCUAUGUUGACAUUGUAGAUAGGUAGGUCUAAG
Symphalangus syndactylus (siamang) is the source of this 1608-nucleotide long non-coding RNA. RefSeq lists it as uncharacterized. NCBI's taxonomy places the organism in Eukaryota, Metazoa, Chordata, Mammalia, Primates, Hylobatidae. The record is from RefSeq and is a predicted model, not a curated record.